UCUUUGAAAUUUGCGGUUCCCCGAGUAUAUAUAUGCCCAGGUUCUGUGCUUGACGGCGUUCCUAAAUUUACUGCAAAUGAAUUAAGAAGACAACGAGACCGAGAGCGGUACGCGUCACUCAGCGUUGAGGAGAAGGCAGCUCUGGUUCAAAAGAACCGUGAAAAUAGGAGGAAGAAGGAGUCUGCAACUACAUCGGGCACAGUUUUCAAUCAGAGUUUGCAUAAUGGAGGCCAAACUGUAAAUUGUCAGCCAUCAUUUCAGGCUGUGCCUUCCUCCACACCUGUUGUGCUUGGCGAUAUUACAAGUUUGAGUUUGCAUAAUGGAAGCCAAACUGUAGAUUGUCAGCCAUCAUUUCAACCAGAGCCUUCCUCCACACCUGUGUCUUCUUGCACACCUGGUAAUGUCUUGUGGAAUCAAUUUGUUCUAACAGAUUACUCUUCGCCCCACCAAUCUAAUAUUACAGACACACCACUCACACCAGCGAAUGAGCUCAAGAUGGAUGGUAGUGAUGACUACUCCUGGCUGCGGCGGAAUGAUGCAUAUGAGCGGCGAGCAUGCUGCAACAUUGAUCUAAUGGAAGGAGAGGCCAUAGUAGAUGAUGAUGAUGACGACGACGACGAAAGUUAUCUCAUGAGGGGACGAGAGGUCAGAAACUCAUUGAUGAAAGAACCAACCCUGCAUGAUGCCAUUAAAAUUGCUGUGACCUAUAGGAAGCAAGAGCUGCUGCAAUUGCAACAACAAAACAACGAUCCAGCAGAGCCAGAAGUGGUGAUAGUUGAAGAUGAUGAAGUGGUGAUUGAGCCAGUGCCAAAAAAGAAGCGCACCGGCAAUAAGGGAUUCACUAUCCCUCCAGGAGUUGAAGUUAUCGAUAUACCCUCUACUCCUUAG
Molecule: long non-coding RNA, 888 nt
Filed under: Oryza sativa aus subgroup
Lineage: Eukaryota; Viridiplantae; Streptophyta; Magnoliopsida; Poales; Poaceae
Description: lncRNA OsN22_07G001550
Source: RNAcentral